This 1372-nucleotide ribosomal RNA is filed under the name uncultured bacterium. RNAcentral describes it as "bacterial SSU rRNA". It matches the Rfam family "Bacterial small subunit ribosomal RNA", at positions 28 to 1381 of the family's 1533-position model. The record is from RNAcentral.
GAUGAACGCUGGCGGCGUGCCUAAUACAUGCAAGUCGAGCGGACGGAUGAGAAGCUUGCUUCUCUGAUGUUAGCGGCGGACGGGUGAGUAACACGUGGAUAACCUACCUAUAAGACUGGGAUAACUUCGGGAAAUCGGAGCUAAUACCGGAUAAUAUUUUGAACCGCAUGGUUCAAAAGUGAAAGACGGUCUUGCUGUCACUUAUAGAUGGAUCCGCGCUGCAUUAGCUAGUUGGUAAGGUAACGGCUUACCAAGGCAACGAUGCAUAGCCGACCUGAGAGGGUGAUCGGCCACACUGGAACUGAGACACGGUCCAGACUCCUACGGGAGGCAGCAGUAGGGAAUCUUCCGCAAUGGGCGAAAGCCUGACGGAGCAACGCCGCGUGAGUGAUGAAGGUCUUCGGAUCGUAAAACUCUGUUAUUAGGGAAGAACAUAUGUGUAAGUAACUGUGCACAUCUUGACGGUACCUAAUCAGAAAGCCACGGCUAACUACGUGCCAGCAGCCGCGGUAAUACGUAGGUGGCAAGCGUUAUCCGGAAUUAUUGGGCGUAAAGCGCGCGUAGGCGGUUUUUUAAGUCUGAUGUGAAAGCCCACGGCUCAACCGUGGAGGGUCAUUGGAAACUGGAAAACUUGAGUGCAGAAGAGGAAAGUGGAAUUCCAUGUGUAGCGGUGAAAUGCGCAGAGAUAUGGAGGAACACCAGUGGCGAAGGCGACUUUCUGGUCUGUAACUGACGCUGAUGUGCGAAAGCGUGGGGAUCAAACAGGAUUAGAUACCCUGGUAGUCCACGCCGUAAACGAUGAGUGCUAAGUGUUAGGGGGUUUCCGCCCCUUAGUGCUGCAGCUAACGCAUUAAGCACUCCGCCUGGGGAGUACGACCGCAAGGUUGAAACUCAAAGGAAUUGACGGGGACCCGCACAAGCGGUGGAGCAUGUGGUUUAAUUCGAAGCAACGCGAAGAACCUUACCAAAUCUUGACAUCCUUUGACAACUCUAGAGAUAGAGCCUUCCCCUUCGGGGGACAAAGUGACAGGUGGUGCAUGGUUGUCGUCAGCUCGUGUCGUGAGAUGUUGGGUUAAGUCCCGCAACGAGCGCAACCCUUAAGCUUAGUUGCCAUCAUUAAGUUGGGCACUCUAAGUUGACUGCCGGUGACAAACCGGAGGAAGGUGGGGAUGACGUCAAAUCAUCAUGCCCCUUAUGAUUUGGGCUACACACGUGCUACAAUGGACAAUACAAAGGGCAGCGAAACCGCGAGGUCAAGCAAAUCCCAUAAAGUUGUUCUCAGUUCGGAUUGUAGUCUGCAACUCGACUACAUGAAGCUGGAACCGCUAGUAAUCGUAGAUCAGCAUGCUACGGUGAAUACGUUCCCGGGUCU